This 536-nucleotide long non-coding RNA is filed under the name Capsicum annuum. RNAcentral describes it as "long non-coding RNA (CANN_LNC010308)". Lineage: Eukaryota; Viridiplantae; Streptophyta; Magnoliopsida; Solanales; Solanaceae. The record is from RNAcentral.
AUGUUGCCAUCUAUUUAAUCAUCAUUCUCUUUACUCGAUUGCAUAUUAAUCCGUAUUCUUUUUUAUUUGCAUGAACUCUCCCUCAUGAGUCCGCCGGACUCCCAUUUCUCGCAUUUGGUUGGGCUAAACCCCAACUUCCAUAGAGUCAAGACCCAUGUCAAAUCCAAAAGGGACUAAUGCGCAAGAAACAACACCGAUAUACAAUUAUAUACAGUGAAUAUACAUAGGAAGCAGCAGCAGCACGCUAUUCCACGGUCUAUGAUGGCAAAAUGGAUCAAAAUACGUAGGUAUCCACACUGAUAUACACCGUAUACGCGGUGGUAUAUAGAAAAACGCAGCAAAGGAGUUGCUGAUAUACAGAAGAUAUACAGCAGAUAUACAGGGGCAAAAUAAUGGGCUAAAGUCUACGGAAUUGGCCCAAAAUUUGACAGAUUUUUAAUGGGCCAAAAGGGGCCCAAUUUUCACUCUUCUCUCUUUAAUUAUCCAUUCUAAUUUUAUUUGUAUUUGCUUGAACACUUUAAUUAAUCAAUCUAGAU